GACGAACGCUGGCGGCGUGCUUAACACAUGCAAGUCGAACGGCAAGGCCCUGCUUUUGUGGGGUGCUCGAGUGGCGAACGGGUGAGUAACACGUGAGUAACCUGCCCUUGACUUUGGGAUAACUUCAGGAAACUGGGGCUAAUACCGGCUAGGAGCUCCUGCUGCAUGGUGGGGGUUGGAAAGUUUCGGCGGUUGGGGAUGGACUCGCGGCUUAUCAGCUUGUUGGUGGGGUAGUGGCUUACCAAGGCUUUGACGGGUAGCCGGCCUGGGAGGGUGACCGGCCACAGUGGGACUGAGAUACGGCCCAGACUCCUACGGGAGGCAGCAGUGGGGAAUAUUGCACAAUGGUCGGAAGCCUGAUGCAGCAACGCCGCGUGCGGGAUGACGGCCUUCGGGUUGUAAACCGCUUUCGCCUGUGACGAAGCGUGAGUGACGGUAAUGGGUAAAGAAGCACCGGCUAACUACGUG
Molecule: ribosomal RNA, 468 nt
Filed under: uncultured bacterium
Lineage: Bacteria
Description: partial 16S ribosomal RNA
Rfam family: Bacterial small subunit ribosomal RNA
Source: RNAcentral